This 440-nucleotide ribosomal RNA is filed under the name uncultured bacterium. RNAcentral's name for it is "bacterial SSU rRNA". It matches the Rfam family "Bacterial small subunit ribosomal RNA", at positions 338 to 795 of the family's 1533-position model. The record is from RNAcentral.
CCUACGGGAGGCAGCAGUGGGGAAUAUUGCACAAUGGGGGAAACCCUGAUGCAGCAACGCCGCGUGAGCGAUGAAGGCCUUCGGGUCGUAAAGCUCUGUCCUAAGGGAAGAAUACUGACGGUACCUUAGGAGGAAGCCCCGGCUAACUACGUGCCAGCAGCCGCGGUAAUACGUAGGGGGCUAGCGUUAUCCGGAAUUACUGGGCGUAAAGGGUGCGUAGGCGGCCCUUCAAGGCAGAGGUGAAAGGCUACGGCUCAACCGUAGUAAGCCUUUGAAACUGUAGGGCUUGAGUGCAGGAGGGGAGAGUGGAAUUCCCAGUGUAGAGGUGAAAUGCGUCGAUAUUAGGAGCAAAACCAGUUGAGACGGCGGCUGUGUGGAAUGUAUCUGACGCUGAGGAACGAAAGCGUGGGGAGCGAACAGGAUUAGAUACCCCUGUAGUC